GUGAAUCAUCGAAUUUUUGAACGCAAAUUGCACUCUCUUCGGAGAGUAUGCCUGUUUGAGGGUCAGCCUAUAAAAAAUCGACAUCGUUGCUGUUUCGCGGUGGCGUUCGUCGGAAAUUGGGUCAUCUUAAAUCCUUUUGGUUUUUAAGCGACUUAAAAUUUUCUUUUUGGUUCCAUGAACGUUUCUAAGAUUUUUUUCUUUACUCGUUUAAGGAAUCGAUGUUAUUAGACUUGACCAUCAUAUCGGAUCCUGUCCAUAAUCUUUCAUUAACUGACAUCAGACAGGUAAGA
Molecule: unclassified non-coding RNA, 290 nt
Filed under: Glomeraceae sp.
Lineage: Eukaryota; Fungi; Glomeromycota; Glomeromycetes; Glomerales; Glomeraceae
Description: partial contains 5.8S ribosomal RNA and internal transcribed spacer 2
Rfam family: 5.8S ribosomal RNA (bases 1-65)
Source: RNAcentral